CCAAACUGUCUUUAUUUUUUGGUUAGCUGUUUGUUUAUUUUACCAAAUUCAAAAUUUAUUUUUUUCAUAUCGCAUUCUCUGAAGAGGUGCUUCGAUUCAGUUAAUAAUGUCAGGAUUCAGUGGGACCAAUCCAUCUAAUCGCUUAAAACGAGCAAAAAGUGAGUUGUCUCAUAAUACUUCUGCUGGAUCUCUCAGGAAUGAAUUUAGAAAUAAAUUCUUCACAAGAUUGAGAAAUAAUCGUAGCAGAAGUGUCGACAGGUUUCGGCAAAUUGUAGAAGAUUAUGGGCAAAUUAUUUCAUAUAGAUCAAUCAAUGAUUUGAGAAUAGCUCUCGAAAGGGACCCAGAGGCAGUCAAUCUCAUGAAUGACACUGAAGUAAACGAGAUAUUGGAUCAAAUUGAGCAGGAAUUGUCACAAGUGGAUCUUCAAGAUCAAGCAGAUCGUCAUGAGCAAGACAGGAAGAAUGAAACUGAGGAUAUUGUUAACCGUCUUCUAAUGAUUUGUAACAUAUGUCAAAAUGUCUCAGCGGAAGGAAACAUAUGUUCAACGUGUGUAUCACACAUCAAUGAUGAAUUUUCAAAGUAAUUGUUGAAUUUAUGCCUAUAUUGAGUUUAGAUUGUGUUAUGUUUGAAUUGUUUGAUGAUAAUUUAUUAAGACUGUCUGAAAAUCUUACCAUAACUGAGCCCUUAUCCAAUUAGAUCUGAAUUUAUUAAGGGUGAAUAUUCGUUUCAACAGCUAGAGCUUGUUAUUCAUAAUUAAUUCCAUGUAUGUAAUUUGUGUAAUGUUUCAUUUGAAAGAAGGUUAAAGUUAUGUAAAAUUUUCCUUUUCGUGAUGUAGCCAAUAAAUAAAAAACAAAAACUCUAAUGAUGCAACAAUAUUUAGAAAAUGAUAGGAUUAGUUUGGUGAAAUAGAAGUUUUUAUUCUGUGAUGACCUUUGAAGUGAUUGAAUAAAUUGUCCGCAGUAGAGACCGUAGUUCGUCUUUUAUGAGUUUUAAUAACUAAACUUGAAUUAAUAAAAUAAUUGUUUUUAACAAUUUCAACUUUUGAUUACCGUAUCUCUGAAAGUAGACCAAGCACCAAGUCUUAAAUUCAUAUCCUUGAUUAGCAGAUAAAAACAUGUCUAACUGUAAAUUUUUCAUAAACAGCACGAACUGUUAAAACGAAUAUAUACACCAAUAAGAUUCAAAAUCUGAGGACCAACAAUUAUUAUUUGGGAAAAAAUCGAAUUCCUGAUUUUUUAGAAAAUUUGAUAUGUUCGCAUUUUUAUAGCCAAACAUGUUUACUUCCAGCUUUACACCAAAAAUUACACUUUCCGAGAAUAUUUCAUUUAGAGAUUUUUUCAUUUAAUAGUACCAGUUAUAUCAAUUCUUUUAAAAAGUACUUGAACUCUGAAACAAUGUUUGUACUGUCAGAUAUGUGACAAAAAAUUUGAUUGUGGAACUGGUCUAUUUGGGUAUGAGGUAAUAAUGCUCAGAACUCUAUGUUAUAGUGCUUAACAAUUGUUACCUCUUAAGCUGUUUCACUUGAAGAAAAAAUGUUUCAUUGAAUUUCAACAGUGAACAUCAAGUAUGAUAAGACUGAGAGACAAUUUGAUAAUAAGUUUGUUUUCUGUUUGACUUUGGCAGAUUCAAUUACUAUAAUUGAAGUGAUGCCAACCCAUCGAGAGAAUGUUGAUAAUGAAUGUGUAAUUCUUUCUAGAUUGGUCUCCUAAUGACUGAUUUGCUCUGUAUUCAUAAUUUUGUUGAAUGUACUAAUGUGAUAUAGAGAGUAAUAAAUCAUUUUUAUAUAUUG
Long non-coding RNA from Leptinotarsa decemlineata (Colorado potato beetle), 1789 nucleotides. The record is from RefSeq and is a predicted model, not a curated record. Lineage: Eukaryota; Metazoa; Arthropoda; Insecta; Coleoptera; Chrysomelidae.